This 253-nucleotide ribosomal RNA is filed under the name uncultured bacterium. RNAcentral's name for it is "partial 16S ribosomal RNA". It matches the Rfam family "Bacterial small subunit ribosomal RNA", at positions 524 to 776 of the family's 1533-position model. The record is from RNAcentral.
UACAGAGGGUGCAAGCGUUGCUCGGAAUUAUUGGGCGUAAAGCGCGUGUAGGCGGCUUUGCAAGUCGGGUGUGAAAGCCCUCAGCUCAACUGAGGAAGUGCGCCCGAAACUGCAGAGCUUGAGUGCCGGAGAGGGUGGCGGAAUUCCCCAAGUAGAGGUGAAAUUCGUAGAUAUGGGGAGGAACACCGGUGGCUAAGGCGGCCACCUGGACGGUAACUGACGCUGAGACGCGAAAUCGUGGUGAGCAAACAGG